RNAcentral lists this ribosomal RNA (489 nucleotides) under uncultured Campylobacterota bacterium. RNAcentral's name for it is "bacterial SSU rRNA". It matches the Rfam family "Bacterial small subunit ribosomal RNA", at positions 73 to 583 of the family's 1533-position model. Lineage: Bacteria; Pseudomonadati; Campylobacterota. The record is from RNAcentral.
GCCUAGCUUGCUAGGUGGAUUAGUGGCGCACGGGUGAGUAAUAUAUAGAUAACGUGCCUCUUAGUCUGGGAUAGCCAUUGGAAACGAUGAUUAAUACUAGAUACUCCUUCUAACUCUAAUGUUAGUCGGGAAAGUUUUUCGCUAAGAGAUCGGUCUAUAUCCCAUCAGCUAGUUGGUAGUGUAAGAGACUACCAAGGCAAUGACGGGUAGCGGGUUUGAGAGGAUGAUCCGCCACACUGGUACUGAGACACGGACCAGACUCCUACGGGAGGCAGCUGUGAGGAAUAUUGCACAAUGGAGGAAACUCUGAUGCAGCAACGCCGCGUGGAGGAUGACGCAUUUCGGUGUGUAAACUCCUUUUAUAUGUCAAGAAAAUGACGGUAGCAUAUGAAUAAGCACCGGCUAACUCCGUGCCAGCAGCCGCGGUAAUACGGAGGGUGCAAGCGUUAUUCGGAAUCACUGGGCGUAAAGGACGCGUAGGCGGGAUGC